AAAUUUAUUCAGAAAAAUUAUUUUUUUAAAAGUACGAGCGCUAGGCGGGGUGGGGAUAGGUAUCCACUCUAGCGCGGUAAGGGGAAAGCAGUAACCAUAUGAUUUUUCUCAAUAUAUAGAUAUACAUUUAACAUUGGCUAAUGGCGGGAUUUAUUUUUCUUUUAAUUAAUA
Molecule: long non-coding RNA, 171 nt
Organism: Cotesia glomerata
Lineage: Eukaryota; Metazoa; Arthropoda; Insecta; Hymenoptera; Braconidae
Exons: 3
Source: RefSeq, a predicted model, not a curated record